GACGAACGCUGGCGGCGUGCUUAACACAUGCAAGUCGAACGGAAAGGCCCUGCUUUUGUGGGGUGCUCGAGUGGCGAACGGGUGAGUAACACGUGAGUAACCUGCCCUUGACUUUGGGAUAACUUCAGGAAACUGGGGCUAAUACCGGAUAGGAGCUCCUGCUGCAUGGUGGGGGUUGGAAAGUUUCGGCGGUUGGGGAUGGACUCGCGGGUUAUCAGCUUGUUGGUGGGGUAGUGGCUUACCAAGGCUUUGACGGGUAGCCGGCCUGAGCGGGUGACCGGCCACAUUGGGACUGAGAUACGGCCCGGACUCCUACGGGAGGCAGCAGUGGGGAAUAUUGCACAAUGGGCGGAAGCCUUAUGCAGCAACGCCGCGUGCGGUAUGACGGCCUUCGGGUUGUAAACCUUUUUCGCCUAUGACGAAGCGUGAGUGACGGUAAUGGGUAAAGAAGCACCGGCUAACUACGUG
RNAcentral lists this ribosomal RNA (468 nucleotides) under uncultured bacterium. RNAcentral describes it as "partial 16S ribosomal RNA". It matches the Rfam family "Bacterial small subunit ribosomal RNA", at positions 28 to 507 of the family's 1533-position model. The record is from RNAcentral.